RNAcentral lists this ribosomal RNA (407 nucleotides) under uncultured bacterium. Its description in RNAcentral is "partial 16S ribosomal RNA". It matches the Rfam family "Bacterial small subunit ribosomal RNA", at positions 355 to 774 of the family's 1533-position model. The record is from RNAcentral.
UGGGGAAUAUUGGACAAUGGGCGGAAGCCUGAUGCAGCAACGCCGCGUGCGGGAUGACGGCCUUCGGGUUGUAAACCGCUUUCGCCUGUGACGAAGCGUGAGUGACGGUAAUGGGUAAAGAAGCACCGGCUAACUACGUGCCAGCAGCCGCGGUGAUACGUAGGGUGCGAGCGUUGUCCGGAUUUAUUGGGCGUAAAGGGCUCGUAGGUGGUUGAUCGCGUCGGAAGUGUAAUCUUGGGGCUUAACCCUGAGCGUGCUUUCGAUACGGGUUGACUUGAGGAAGGUAGGGGAGAAUGGAAUUCCUGGUGGAGCGGUGGAAUGCGCAGAUAUCAGGAGGAACACCAGUGGCGAAGGCGGUUCUCUGGGCCUUUCCUGACGCUGAGGAGCGAAAGCGUGGGGAGCGAACA